RNAcentral lists this transfer RNA (77 nucleotides) under Thermoprotei archaeon. RNAcentral's name for it is "tRNA-Arg". It matches the Rfam family "tRNA". From Rfam's summary of the family: Transfer RNA (tRNA) molecules are approximately 80 nucleotides in length. RNAcentral also lists the same sequence under 1 other name. Lineage: Archaea; Thermoproteati; Thermoproteota; Thermoprotei. The record is from RNAcentral.
GGGCCCGUCGUCUAGCUGGAUAGGACGCAGGCCUGCGGAGCCUGAGGUCCGGGGUUCAAGUCCCCGCGGGCCCGCCA